ACGCUCGACACCUACGGGAGGCNGCAGUGGGGAAUAUUGCGCAAUGGGGGGAACCCUGACGCAGCAACGCCGCGUGAAGGAAGAAGGUUUUCGGAUUGUAAACUUCAGCAAGCAGGGAAGAAAGAAAUGACGGUACCUGAACAAAAGCCACGGCUAACUACGUGCCGGCAGCCGCGGUAAUCUGAGCGGGCUGGCAAGGC
RNAcentral lists this ribosomal RNA (200 nucleotides) under uncultured bacterium. RNAcentral's name for it is "partial 16S ribosomal RNA". It matches the Rfam family "Bacterial small subunit ribosomal RNA", at positions 328 to 539 of the family's 1533-position model. The record is from RNAcentral.